RNAcentral lists this long non-coding RNA (734 nucleotides) under Oreochromis niloticus (Nile tilapia). RNAcentral describes it as "lncRNA (ENSONIG00000037415.1)". Lineage: Eukaryota; Metazoa; Chordata; Actinopteri; Cichliformes; Cichlidae. The record is from RNAcentral.
CUUUAGUAAUCCAGUGGCUUCUGGUUUCCAGGGUGUGACUUUUCAGGGUUUCCAGUUAGAAUAUAAAUAACUUUUACAAUCAAAAUGUUUUUUCUUUGUUAGAUGAUUGUGAUUAAAUGGGGAAAAAAGCUGGAUCAGCUAUCUUAUAAUAAACUGAUUUAUCUCCAGGUCACUGCCCAUCCUGGCGAGCAGCAGCAGGUGGUCAGGGUCAAGGGUCAAGCUUUCUGUAACCAUGAGGCAGGCGGUGGAGGCUCAGGUGUUAAGUCCGCACUGUGAGUUGGGAGAACACGGUUUGCGUCAGAUCCUGUCUGACGUCAUAGAUGAGGUGAGGCAGUCUGUGAGUCAGGACAUCGACGGAGCAGAGAUCCUCCACAGUCUGCUCAACGCCGCCUGGCUGCAGUCACUUCUCAAGGUUUAUGAGUGUUUGCAAAGAUAUCUAAGAGAUUCUCCUGCACCAGCUCUGGAUUACUCUUCGGGACUCUCGCUUGAGGUUCAUCUUCCAAAACAAUUUAAUGUAGUUGUCAUGUUCAAAUGUUGUUUGGUAGGGUUUUUUUUAAGGUAUUGAAUGUUUCUGUCUUUAUAGUUGCUGAUUGAUAUCAGGUCCUUACCAAGUUGCUCUGAAGAGGCCAAAGAGCUGUACCAUCUUCUGCGACAGCCACACCUGCAGGUUAAUCAACCACUAUUGGUUUCAUGUUGAAGUACAGAAGAGGUUAAGGGCCUAUAAGGCCCAUUGU